AUAACGGCUUCUUAAUUUUGUCACAUAUAGUACAAAAUGUAUCUUUUAGCCGAAAAGUGUAAAUUACUCAAAGUAAAUGAUAUGCUUGAAAAAGUAGUUAAAAUUAAACAGUUAAUAUCUACAGAUACUUAUAUCGUCGACAACAUGAUUAUAGGUUCCAAAUUUGAGGUAAGUCAUUUAAACGAUGCACGGCGGUUUACAAACUUGAAAGAUAAAACAAUAAAAAAAAAAUCAAUUUAUCAGAAACGAAACAGAGAGGAAUAAGAUACAAAAUGAAAAUUCAAACUCAUAAGUCUAAAAGGAACCGACAAUGCCACUACAAAAAAAACCAAGAAGCAAACAAAAGACAAACACAUAUAUUAACAAUCCUUUCGAAAAAAAAGGCUUUAUCUCAUAAAAAUAAGCCAAGCACACCUUGGAUUUAGUGUCAAGUAAACCUUAGCUAUUCAGCUUCCCAUUGCACCAUGUGACGAAAAAAGUAUUGCCCUAGAACAUCUUUCAUUAACAUUUCCGGAAGGGUGGAGUAGGGUGUCCGACCCCAACUUUGGACUUAGUUUAAAAAGAAAAUAAGCCGAAGCACACCCUGGAGUUUUUGUCUAGUAAACUUUAGCUAUUCAACUUCCAAUUGCACCUAGUGGCGAAAAAAGUAUUGCCGUAAAACAUUUUUUAUUUACAUUUCCGUAAGGGUAGGGUAAGGUGUCCGACCCCAACUUUGGACCUAAUUAAAGAAAAAUCUAAGCCGAAUCACACCCUUGAUUUAUUGUCAAGUAAACCUUAGCUAUCCAGCUUCCCAUUGCACCAAAUGGCGAAAAAAGUAUUUCCGUAAAAUAUUUUUUAUUGACAUUUCCGUAAUGGUGGGGAGAGGUGUCCGACCCCAACUUUGGACCCAAUUUAUAAAAAAAGAAGCCAAAGCACACCCUGGAUUUUUUGUCAAGUAAACUUUAGCUAUUCAGCUAUCCAUAUCACUUAGUGGCGAAAGAAUUAUUGCCGUAGAACAUUUUUUAUUGACAUUUCUGUAAGGGUGGGGUAGGGUGUCCGACCCCAACUUUGGACCUGAUUUAAAAAAAAAUAAGCCGAAGCCCACCCCUUGAAUAAAUGACAAGUAAACCUUAGCUAUUCAGCUUCCCAUUACACCUACUGGCGAAAAAAGUAUUGCCAUAGAACAUUUUUUAUUAACAUUCCGUAAGGGAAGGGUAGGGUGUCCAACCCCAACUUUGGACCUUAAUAAAAAAAAACUAAGCCGAAGCACACCCUGAAUUUAUUGUCAAGUAAACCUUAGCUAUUCAGCUUACCAUUGCACCUAGUAGCGAAAAAAGUAUUGUAAGGGUGAGGUAGGGUGUCCGACCCCAACUUUGGACUAAUUUAAAAAGAAAAAAAGCCGAAGCACACCCGAAUUUAUUGUCAAGUAAACUGUAGCUAUUCAGGUUCCCAUUGCACCUACUGGCAAAAAAAAAGUAUUGCCGUAGAACUUUUUUAUUUACAUUUCCGUAAGGGUGGGUUAGGGUGUCCAAACCCCAACUUUGGACUUUAUUAAAAAAAUAAACUAAGCCGAAGCACACCCUUGAUUUAUUGUCACGUAAACCUAGCUAUCCAGCUUCCCAUUGCACCAAGUGGCGAAAAAAGUAUUGCCGUUCAAUAUUUUUUAUUGAUUUUUCCGUAAUGGUGGGGAGAGGUGUCCGACACGAACUUUGGACCUAAAGUAUAAACAAAAAUUAAGCCGAUGCACACCCUGGAUUUUUUGUCAUGUAAACUUUAGCGAUUCAGCUUCCCAUUGCACCUGCUGGCGAAAAAAGUAUUGCCAUAAAACAUUUUUUUUGUAACAUUUCCGUAAGGGAUGGGUAGGGUGUCCGAACCCAAAUUUGGACCUUAUUAAAAAAAAAACUAAGGCGACGCACACCCUGAAUUUAUUGUCAAGUACACUUUAGCUAUUCAGCUUCCCAUUGCACCUAGUUUCGAAAAGAGUUUUGCCGUAGAACAUUUUUAAUUAACAUUUCCGUAAGGGUGGGGUAGGGUGUCUGACCCCAACUUUGGACUUAAUUUAAAAAAAAAACUAAGCCGAAGCACACCCUUGAAUUAUUGUAAAGUAAAUCUUAACUAUUCCGCUUCCCAUUGCACCUAGUGGCGAAAAAAGUAUUGCCGUAAAACAAUUUUCAUUAACAUUUCCGUAAGUUAGGGGUAAGGUGUCCUACCCAAACUUUGGAACUUAUUUUAAAACAAAAUAAGCCGAAGCACACCCUGAAUUUUUUGUCAAAUAAACUUUAGCUAUUCAGCUUCACAGUGCCACAUAGUGGUGAAAAAAGUAUUGCCGUAGAAGAUUUUUGUUAACAUUUCCGUAAGGGUGGGGUAGGUUGAAUAACACAACCAGUGCUCCAUGUGGAUAAUGGUCUUUAUACUCUUGUUUAGCACCUUAGAUAAUUUUCAGUUUUUGAUUGGGCUCAUGUUGCUCAGUCCUUAGUUUUUGUGUUUAAAUUUUGUGUGAAAUGUUUCGUCUUUUUUUCGUUGAUCGUAUUUUUCAAUUACUUUGUCAAUUUUAUUUCGACUGUAUAUAUUUGAUAUCCCUUUUGUAUCUUUCGCCUCUAUUUUAAAUACCUAUACUGGUUUUAUGAUGAAUGUAUUUACAACCACUUGGUCGAUGCCACUGCUGGUGGAGUUUUCAUUCCACCGAGGGUAUAAUCAGCCCAGUAGUCAGCACUUCUGUGUUGACAUGAAUUAUCAUUGAUAUGGUCAUAAUUUAAAACUGUUCACAAAGCUUUGAAUGUUUGAAAAACAAAGGCUUUUUUUACUUUAAACAAUAGAUUAUCUAAGCUGUAGUUGGCAAAACUUUGAAGAUUUUUUGGUUCUUAAAGCUCUUCAACUUUGUACUUUAUAUUUACUUUUUAACAUUUCUUAUUCGAGCGUCUCUGACGAGUCUCCUGUAGACGAAACGUGUGCCUGGCGCAAAUUUGAAUUCUGGUAUCUAUGAUGAUUUUAUUUACAUAAGCUAUUGAAAGCAGCUCCCAUGACACAAUGUAUUUCUUUGAACAUUAUUUUUUCAUAUAUUAUCAAUAAAAAUUAAGAUGAGACUAACUGAAGGAAUAGCAUAAACUCUAAAAGAAAUGAGGCCGGUAACUUUGACAAUAUCAAAGUCACAGGAUCUGCAUCAUUCACUCACCAUGUGAAUCCGUAAUCAGUCAAGCAAUUUGUAUUGGGUAUAACAUUCAAUCACUAUAAUUACAUAUUAUACGACUUUGAUCAUCUAAGACAUCGAAAACAUAUCGGAAGAGAGUCGAGACACAUCCAUAUCGUAUCAUGCAACUAAUUCGUGAAGGUGAACUUGAAACUUUUAAAGUGUCGAUUUCAGUCGUUCUUUCUCAGUUGAAGCAGAUGUUGUGUAUUCUACUUUGAUACGCAGUCAGCAUAUUAACAACACCCAAAGGAUCAAGUAGAUAUGGAGCAGACCGUCCGGUGAUAAUUACACCCUUAAUAUUAUAUUGUAAACAUGAAACAAGGACGCACUGAUACGUGGGUUAUUAUGAAGUUACUGGUCAUCAUCAAUAUAUGUAAAGGUGACAUUCAAGAACCUUGAAAUUUUCUUUUUUUCAUGUUUUUAAGAUGAUUUUGCAUGACUGUUAAUUCAUUUGAAGACAAAACCGUGUCAACUUGUAGUGACGCACUUUUAGUACAUAUUGGAAUAUCCACUGUCUGCUGAAAUGAUGAUGUCAUUCUUGGUAAAAACAAAUCUGGAAUCGUUACAGUUUUUCACAAUGAUAUAUUUUCUAGGGCAUACAACAUGAUACAGUACAGCCUGUGACAUCCUCUUAGUUAUGUCCACCCUCUUGCAUGGUCAACAUCCAAUGGUGAACAUUUAUUGGGGUAUUCAAUCUUGAGAUGUUGGCCAUUUAUUGGGGGUCAUAAAACAUAGGUAGAUUUUUUAUCUCAUUAUGUUACCUGUUAAAAUCAAUCAGGGUUGAAGUUUUCAGCUGGUAUGUUUCAUUAAAAUUUACCUGUACAGGUAACUCAGGUUUCUUUUAAAAUUGACAUUUCACCUUUUUUUGAAUAUGUAGAAUAAAAUAUUGUUUUAGUCUGUUUAAUUUAUUAUUUGUUUUUUUUGUUUUAAUG
This 4098-nucleotide long non-coding RNA is filed under the name Mytilus galloprovincialis (Mediterranean mussel). The record is from RNAcentral. Lineage: Eukaryota; Metazoa; Mollusca; Bivalvia; Mytilida; Mytilidae.